Molecule: non-coding RNA, 421 nt
Organism: Paramisgurnus dabryanus
Lineage: Eukaryota; Metazoa; Chordata; Actinopteri; Cypriniformes; Cobitidae
Source: RefSeq, a predicted model, not a curated record
AGAUAAACUGUCAGUCCGUUGAUGCAAAUCUUGCAUCUGUGCGCAGUAAAGUGGAAAACAACUUUCUCCAGACUCUCCUUGUGUCUGCUGACACACGUGCUUGGAUUGGUGCCCAUGAUGCUGAAAAGAAAGGACAAUGGCUGUGGUCUGAUGGAUCUCAGUUUGACCUUACCAAUUGGUGCUCCGGAAAACCUGACAAUUCUGGUGGUAAAGAGGACUGCCUGGAGAUAAACUUUAGCAAUAACCAUUGCUGGAAUGAUGCGCCCUGUUCAACCACAAUGAGCUACAUUUGUGCCAAACCUCUGAUAUCAUAAAAAAAAUACUAUGAUUGUACUACAUUUUCUGAUCUUAUCCUUAAAAGUCAGUAUCUUACUGUACCUUUCUGAUUUAAAAAAAUCAAUAAAAGCAUUUAUAAAGCAAA